CAAUAGCGUAUAUUAAAGUUGUUGCAGUUAAAAAGCUCGUAGUUGGAUUUCUGUCGAAGACGACCAGCCCGCCUUACGGUGUGUGCUCGGUUCGGCUUUGGCAUCCUCCUGCGCCGUCACUCCGCGCUUCACUGCGUUGGAGAGCGACGUAGGACAGUUACUUUGAGAAAAUUAGAGUGUUUCAAGCAGGCAUUCGCCUUGAAUACAUUAGCAUGGAAUAAUGAGAUAGGACUUCGGUUCUAUGUGUUGGUUUCGAGAACUGAGGUAAUGAUUAAUAGGGAUAGUUGGGGGCAUUCGUAUUUAACUGUCAGAGGUGAAAUUCUUGGAUUUGUUAAAGACGAACUACUGCGAAAGCAUUUGCCAAGGAUGUUUUCAUUAA
Molecule: ribosomal RNA, 379 nt
Filed under: uncultured eukaryote
Lineage: Eukaryota
Description: partial 18S ribosomal RNA
Rfam family: Eukaryotic small subunit ribosomal RNA
Source: RNAcentral